This 321-nucleotide ribosomal RNA is filed under the name Diderma meyerae. Its description in RNAcentral is "bacterial SSU rRNA". It matches the Rfam family "Eukaryotic small subunit ribosomal RNA", at positions 80 to 350 of the family's 1831-position model. Lineage: Eukaryota; Evosea; Eumycetozoa; Physariida; Didymiaceae. The record is from RNAcentral.
UCUGAAUCUGCGUACGGCUCCGCAAACCAGUUGUAAACUAUAGCAAGCAGGCUCAGGGUCGGCCUUCACGGGCUGGCCUCGGGCGAUAUGGAUAACCCUGGUAAUUCUGAGGCUAAUACAUGAACGUAGAACCCGGUUGACCAGGCCUCACGGCUAGGGAUGCUGGGGGAUGUGCGAUUGCAGGCUUGGGUAACUCCGGGAAAGGGCGCACGUCCAGACCGCGCUAUAAAGGAUGGGCUUCUCACGAGGCCUGCCCCAGCGGCUCUUGCUGUGUGCUUCUGACCUAUCAACUAGACGGCAGCGUAAGGGACAUGCUAUGGU